GAAUUCAAAUCUCGCGAUUUUUCAUUUCGCGUGACUUGCUACGCGAGAGUUUGUCUCAGCCGCCAUUUUUCAAAGAGAGAAAGUUUUGUCCGCAGAAAAGAGAAGGGUUUGCAGGUCCAAUAUUAGUUGAAUAGUUCCUGUUAAUGGCGUGAAAUACCAAGCAGAGAGAUUCGGGAAGAAGACAUUUAUAUGGAAAUAAUCAAGAGCAACAACAAGAACAUUAAAAGUUUUGAAAAAAUCGACUCUGAGUGAAGACCAGGCCAUGUAUACAGCUGGUGGACAUACAGUAAUUGUCGAUGAUUCGCGGGUGUAGGGCUCUAGUUGUGUUUUAAGAAGUCUGUGCCACCAUGAGGGGUGUGUGUACCAUCUGCACCGAUCUCUUCACCGAGGACAAACCCAUCUCAGCUACACCUUGUGGGCAUACCUUCCAUGAAACUUGGU
Long non-coding RNA from Branchiostoma floridae (Florida lancelet), 441 nucleotides. RefSeq lists it as uncharacterized. Lineage: Eukaryota; Metazoa; Chordata; Leptocardii; Amphioxiformes; Branchiostomatidae. The record is from RefSeq and is a predicted model, not a curated record. The transcript is spliced from 3 exons.